CGGUACGUACUGGUGUUACUGAUUUCUACCUUCUGACGAACCAUCAUGUCAUUAAUUUGGUGUGGUGGGGAAUCAGGACUGUUACUUUGAAAAAAUUAGAGUGUUUAAAGCAGGCUCGCGCUUGAAUACAUUAGCAUGGAAUAAUGAAAUAGGACGUUGAUCCUAUUUUGUUGGUUUCUAGGAUUGACGUAAUGAUUAAUAGGGAUAGUUGGGGGCAUUAGUAUUCAAUUGUCAGAGGUGAAAUUCUUGGAUUUAUUGAAGACUAACUACUGCGAAAGCAUUUGCCAAGGAUGUUCUCAUUAAUCAAGAACAAAGUUAGGGGAUCGAAGACGAUCAGAUACCGUCGUAGUCUUAACCAUAAACUAUGCCGACUAGGGAUCGGAUGAUGUUAUUUUUAAUGACUCAUUCGGCGCCUUACG
This 419-nucleotide ribosomal RNA is filed under the name uncultured Glomeromycotina. Its description in RNAcentral is "SSU rRNA". It matches the Rfam family "Eukaryotic small subunit ribosomal RNA", at positions 671 to 1092 of the family's 1831-position model. Lineage: Eukaryota; Fungi; Glomeromycota. The record is from RNAcentral.